This 213-nucleotide long non-coding RNA is filed under the name Carica papaya (papaya). RNAcentral describes it as "long non-coding RNA (CPAP_LNC000418)". Lineage: Eukaryota; Viridiplantae; Streptophyta; Magnoliopsida; Brassicales; Caricaceae. The record is from RNAcentral.
GAGGGUACACUGUCAUCCACUAGGAGCGGUUCUCUUACGUCUAGAAAAAUUGAAGAAUGGAAGUGUGGGAAAGAAUAGGACGGGAAGACCUAUUUAUAAAAUUUUAUAACGGUCGGAUUUGCACUAAGUGGCAAAAUCCGAUGAAGAGAGAGGAGAAAAAGAGCUCGACAUAAAAAACGAGGGAGAAGGGCCUCCUCCAACCACUGGAGAACC